UGGGACUAAAAAUUCAAAUAUUUUUUUCAUACGGCCAUGUUCUUUCCCUCUUUUUUUUUUAAAAAAAUUGUUGGUUCUGCUUCAUGCAUCGCACCCACGGCCCAAACAUGUCCGCAUGAGAUCGUUCAUGCAGGAGUCCUCCACGUAUCUUCUUCCUUUUAAAACAUCUCAUGACUUGCUCUCUUGAAUUUAUUUUUGUUCUCGUGAGCCAGCAACACCUACUUCAAAUGCAAACAACAUCUUGGUCCCACUUGACUAAGCCAUUAGCAUUUCACGGCUCUUCCACUUUUCUAUGGACCAAGUGGUCCAUGGUGGACCAUAGAUUUAUAAAUUGAUACGGUUUAUCUUCCGGCUUUGAAUUUAAUUUUAUUUUAACUCUAUUUUUUAUCUCAUUUGAUCCCUCUAAGCCUGCAGAUUAGGCUCUUCAUAUUGGUGCAGCUUUUUUCUAUAAAAUAUACUAAGAAGUAUCAAUUUUAAAAGAAUAAAGAUAAUUUGAUCUAUAAAUUUAUACUUCUAUAAAUAAAUUUAUACACUUAUCAUUAGCCCAAGUCAACCCCAAGUCAAGUAAAAGUUGAUCCUAAGUUGACCCGAGUUGACUCCACUACAUUUGAUGGCUCC
This 618-nucleotide long non-coding RNA is filed under the name Elaeis guineensis (African oil palm). RNAcentral's name for it is "long non-coding RNA (EGUI_LNC069370)". Lineage: Eukaryota; Viridiplantae; Streptophyta; Magnoliopsida; Arecales; Arecaceae. The record is from RNAcentral.